This 254-nucleotide ribosomal RNA is filed under the name uncultured bacterium. RNAcentral's name for it is "partial 16S ribosomal RNA". It matches the Rfam family "Bacterial small subunit ribosomal RNA", at positions 524 to 776 of the family's 1533-position model. The record is from RNAcentral.
UACGUAGGGUGCGAGCGUUGUCCGGAAUUAUUGGGCGUAAAGGGCUCGUAGGCGGUUUGUCGCGUUCAGGAGUGAAAACUCGGGGCUUAACCCCGAGCCUGCUUCUGAUACGGGCAGACUAGAGGUAUGCAGGGGAGAACGGAAUUCCUGGUGUAGCGGUGAAAUGCGCAGAUAUCAGGAGGAACACCGGUGGCGAAGGCGGUUCUCUGGGCAUUACCUGACGCUGAGGAGCGAAAGUGUGGGGAGCGAACAGG